Molecule: RNA transcript, 1996 nt
Organism: Manacus vitellinus (golden-collared manakin)
Lineage: Eukaryota; Metazoa; Chordata; Aves; Passeriformes; Pipridae
Gene: SLC35A5
Gene name: solute carrier family 35 member A5
Exons: 9
Source: RefSeq, a predicted model, not a curated record
GCCUCCCCCGCCUCAGGGAACGCCGGAUCAUCCCGGAGGUGUGCUCUCGCUCCGCUUUUGUAGCACUUCUCCUUGCUGGGAUUAGGAGCAAGAAUGCUUAAAAAAAUAUUUAAGAAUAAUAAGCGUGUGAUUUAUUUAAUCCUUUUAGCUGAUCGGUACUCCAUAGAUGCAAGUCUUAUGGGAAACCAGCCUCUUUCUGCCACCUUCAAGAGUCCCUGCGUAUAUACAUUGUUUAUACCCCUUUGGUGGUCCUCGUAGCAUAUCCUUCUCUUCUUAUCACUCUCAACAACCAGCUGAAGGGAGGUUGCAACCAGGGCAUUGACAACGAGACAGCAGAAUGAAGUUUGAGUGCCGCAGUCGAUUUAUGUGUUGCACCAAGGCAAUCAACCAGACCUUUCUGCUUGGAGGAGUGUUUAUUGUCUUGGGUUCAAGUAGAAUCCUCCUGAUGAAGUACUCUGCCAAUGAAGAUAACAAAUAUGAUUACCUUCCUACAACAGUGAACAUGUGUUCUGAAGUAGUAAAACUGGUCCUGUGUGUGGUGUUGGCACUAUGGAAGAGGAAAAAACAAAAGAGUUGUAUGGAUCAUCCUGUUGAAUGUCUUUCCUGGAAGAAUUUAUGUAAUUUGAUGAAAUGGUCAAUUCCUGCCUUUCUUUACUUUUUGGAUAAUUUGAUUGUCUUCUAUGUACUGUCCUACCUCCAGCCAGCAAUGGCUGUACUCUUCUCAAAUUUUGUCAUUAUAACAACAGCUCUUCUCUUCAGGAUAGUACUAAAGCGAAGACUCUCUUGGGUACAAUGGGCAUCUCUGGUGAUUUUAUUCCUGUCCAUCGUUUCCCUGACUCGAGGAACUGGAGGCCAUCAGCAAAGCUUGGCUGCACAUGGAUUUCAUCACAGUAUGUUUUUUAGUCCGUCUAACCACUGCCUUCUCUAUGCUGGACCUGAGGAAGCAUGCGUGGAAAAAGGCAACUGCGUAGCACCAAGUUUCCUUCACAGCUUCCAAUGGAAUGUCACCAAUACCAUGGCAGGAGCACUGAAACCUCUUCGCCUCAGCCUGGGCCAUCUGCUUAUUCUAGUGCAGUGUUUUGUUUCUGCCCUGGCCAACAUCUACAAUGAAAAGAUGUUGAAAGAUGUGGAUCAGCUUGGUGAAAGUAUCUUCACGCAGAACAGCAAACUCUACGCCUUUGGGGUGCUGUUCAAUGGGCUUAUGCUGGCGCUGCAGACAAAGGACCGGAGGCAGAUAGGGAACUGUGGCUUCUUUUAUGGGCACAACAUCUUCUCCGUGGCUCUUAUAUUUGUCACAGCUUUCCUGGGGCUGUCUGUAGCCUUCAUCUUGAAGUUCCGAGACAACAUGUUCCAUGUUAUGACUGCUCAGAUCAACACUGUCAUCAUCACCACAGUGUCUUUCAUCAUCUUUGACUUCAGGCCUUCUCUAGAGUUCUUUUUGGAAGCUCCUGUAGUGCUUCUCUCCAUAUUCAUCUAUAAUGCCAGUAAAGCAAGAGGCCUGGAAUAUGCCAGUCUGCGGGAAAGGGGAAAACUCGUCAAAGGAGAUGGAUGGGAGAGGUCAAGUGGGGAUGGAGAAGAAUUUGAGAGGUUGAACAAGCCAGGCAGUGACAUUGAUACAGAUGAAGAUUCCCUCUAGCAUGAGGCUGGCUCAGAGGAGUGCUAUUGCUCAUAGUUGGAGGUCUCAGGGAGAUUAUGUUGGAUGGCCAGGCAGGUUUCUUAAAAUAAUGGAGGAGAACUGUAUAUCUCCUUUGCAGCAGCAGGAAUGUUAACGGAUGCCUAAAAAUGGAUUUUGACAUGAUGAGGAGAAAACUGAGCUGCUGAGAAGUUUUUCUUCUUUUAGUGACAUUCAGACACUCCUGCUACAGGAAGAUGAGUUAGCAUUUGCCACCUUCAUCGUGCUGCCAACAGACCUCUCCCAGUUUAUUUCUGGUAGAAUUUCCAAUAUUUUUAAUACCAUAAUGCUGGCAGAUAAAAGAUUAAGAAUAAACUGCCUCUA